GCGUACUUUCUAACAAAAGAAUAAGGGUCUUUCUGCUGUUGUUCUUGGUUUGCUUUUUGAAUUGACUAGACGUUACAUUUUCUCACUGAAGCAUAAAUGUUAGUGAUCGCUAGUCACUGCUAAGUACUGUUUCUAAAUACUUGGUAAACUAAGGUUAAAUUUAUAUGCCAUUAACAACCAACAACAGUAAUAUGCCACAUCUGAGUCUCCUUUAUGGGGUGCUGACAGAUAAAGAGAAGAAAAGAGCUCAAGGAAAAGUUAGUGUUCUGGAUGAGACCAUUACCAGCCUCAAUUUCACCAUAGAUCGCCUUGCGCGCAAUGUACAUGCAAAUGUCACGAUGAAGACAGAACUCAACGGUCUUGGGAUAUAUAACUGAGAAGAUUCUUGAACUCCGCCUUAAUUAGGUUCUAGUUCAAUAUUUGAGCUUCUCGCUAUACUAGUUGAGCCUAGGUAGCAGUUAAUUGUAAUUCAACACUUGAGUGUGAUCUAUAUAGUUCGAUACAAAUACAGAUGUUGAAGUUUGAUACUA
Long non-coding RNA from Rosa chinensis, 530 nucleotides. RefSeq lists it as uncharacterized. The transcript is spliced from 2 exons. The record is from RefSeq and is a predicted model, not a curated record. Lineage: Eukaryota; Viridiplantae; Streptophyta; Magnoliopsida; Rosales; Rosaceae.